GACGAACGCUGGCGGCGUGCUUAACACAUGCAAGUCGAACGGAAAGGCCCUGCUUUUGUGGGGUGCUCGAGUGGCGCGCGGGUGAGUAACACGUGAGUAACCUGCCCUUGACUUUGGGAUAACUUCAGGAAACUGGGGCUCAUACCGGAUAGGAGCUCCUGCUGCAUGGGGGGGGUUGGAAAGUUUCGGCGGUUGGGGCUGGACUCGCGGCUUAUCAGUUUGUUGGUGGGGUAGUGGCUUACCAAGGCUUUGACGGGUAGCCGGCCUGAGAGGGUGACCGGCCACAUUGGGACUGAGAUACGGCCCAGACUCCUACGGGAGGCAGCAGUGGAGAAUAUUGCACAAUGGGCGGAAGCCUGAUGCAGCAACGCCGCGUGCGGGAUGACGGCCUUCGGGUUGUAAACCGCUUUCGCCUGUGACGAAGCGUGAGUGACGGUAAUGGGUAAGGAAGCACCGGCUAACUACGUG
This 468-nucleotide ribosomal RNA is filed under the name uncultured bacterium. Its description in RNAcentral is "partial 16S ribosomal RNA". It matches the Rfam family "Bacterial small subunit ribosomal RNA", at positions 28 to 507 of the family's 1533-position model. The record is from RNAcentral.